Long non-coding RNA from Camelus dromedarius (Arabian camel), 342 nucleotides. RefSeq lists it as uncharacterized. The record is from RefSeq and is a predicted model, not a curated record. The transcript is spliced from 3 exons. NCBI's taxonomy places the organism in Eukaryota, Metazoa, Chordata, Mammalia, Artiodactyla, Camelidae.
UUGGGUGCAGAGUGUCACGGCCAGCUCUCUUAAAGCCUCAGUUCCCUCACCUGCAAAACGCUGACAGUCUCUCCUGCCACCUAUUUUUCUUCACAAGAUGGCUGAGCGAUUCAAAUAAGAUAACGUAGGUAAGGUCAUUUUGUAAAAGGAUCGGCAAGCCACACGAAGAGACAACAUGGAUAUGGAAAAAAUUUGAAGAGAGUGGAAAACAAGAUGUUUUGGAAACAGUGGCCCACGAGAUGGAGUUCAAGUUUUUCCACACAGCACACCAGGUAGAUGCUAUCACUAUGUCAAGUUUACAGGGAAGGAAAUUGAGGCAAAAGAAGUUAAAGUAACUUCCUG